CCUGGCGGCCUUAGCGCGGUGGUCCCACCUGACCCCAUACCGAACUCAGAAGUGAAACGCCGUAGCGCCGAUGGUAGUGUGGGGUCUCCCCAUGCGAGAGUAGGGAACUGCCAGGC
Molecule: ribosomal RNA, 116 nt
Filed under: Escherichia coli
Lineage: Bacteria; Pseudomonadati; Pseudomonadota; Gammaproteobacteria; Enterobacterales; Enterobacteriaceae
Source: RNAcentral